CAGCAUGUUUCCAAGGGCUGUGGCUGGUUGUAGCCACGGGAUCUCCAACUGUAUGCGAGAGCAACCUGGAGAGACUUUGACAGCUCAGGUCAGUGUAAUACCUGCAGCUGCCACUCACCUUUGCUAUAAUG
Small nucleolar RNA from Pteronotus mesoamericanus, 131 nucleotides. RefSeq annotates it as small nucleolar RNA SNORA44. The transcript has a single exon. NCBI's taxonomy places the organism in Eukaryota, Metazoa, Chordata, Mammalia, Chiroptera, Mormoopidae. The record is from RefSeq and is a predicted model, not a curated record.